GUGAGGAAUUUUCCGCAAUGGGCGAAAGCCUGACGGAGCAAUGCCGCGUGAAGGAUGAAGGCCUAUGGGUUGUAAACUUCUUUUCUCAGAAAAGAAUUAUGACGGUAUCUGAGGAAUAAGCAUCGGCUAACUCUGUGCCAGCAGCCGCGGUAAGACAGAGGAUGCAAGCGUUAUCCGGAAUGAUUGGGCGUAAAGCGUCUGUAGGUUGUUUAAAAAGUAUUCUGUCAAAGAUUAGGGCUUAACCCUAGAUAGGCAGAAUAAACUUUUAAGCUAGAGUUUGGUAGAGGCAGAGGGAAUUCCCGGUGGGGCGGUGAAAUGCGUAGAUAUCGGGAGGAACACCAAAGGCGAAGGCACUCUGCUGGGCCAAUACUAACACUGAGAGACGAAAGCGAGGGGAGCAAAUGGGAUUAGAUACCCCGGUAGUCC
RNAcentral lists this ribosomal RNA (426 nucleotides) under uncultured bacterium. RNAcentral describes it as "partial 16S ribosomal RNA". It matches the Rfam family "Bacterial small subunit ribosomal RNA", at positions 354 to 796 of the family's 1533-position model. The record is from RNAcentral.